RNAcentral lists this ribosomal RNA (255 nucleotides) under uncultured prokaryote. RNAcentral's name for it is "partial 16S ribosomal RNA". It matches the Rfam family "Bacterial small subunit ribosomal RNA", at positions 521 to 775 of the family's 1533-position model. The record is from RNAcentral.
UAAUACAGAGGUCUCAAGCGUUGUUCGGAUUCAUUGGGCGUAAAGGGUGCGUAGGUGGCGCCGUAAGUCAGGUGUGAAAUUUCGGAGCUUAACUCCGAAACUGCAUUUGAUACUGCGGUGCUUGAGGACUGGAGAGGAGACUGGAAUUUACGGUGUAGCAGUGAAAUGCGUAGAUAUCGUAAGGAAGACCAGUGGCGAAGGCGGGUCUCUGGACAGUUCCUGACACUGAGGCACGAAGGCCAGGGGAGCAAACGG